Molecule: long non-coding RNA, 535 nt
Organism: Miniopterus natalensis
Lineage: Eukaryota; Metazoa; Chordata; Mammalia; Chiroptera; Miniopteridae
Source: RefSeq, a predicted model, not a curated record
UGCAAGAAGAAAGAAGAAAAAGGAAAGAAAAGAGAAAGAACCAGCAACUUUGUUUCUAAGAUUUUAAAGCGAUAGGCAAGUCGGAGAAGCCGAGAUUUACUCUUUGGGGGAAAGUAAGAGCGCGCGAGCGGACCCAGCGUUUGGACGACCAGCCCGCCGGCUUGGAUGUUGGGACUGUGGAUUCCUCCAAUUAAUGAAAUGCAUUUGGUGUUAAUGAUUUUUUUUUUAUGAUUUUUUUUUUUACUUUUUGGGAGGGGGAGACGCUAGGAGGGUGCAUUAAGGGGAAAAAAAAAUCUGAAAAGCCUGCUGCUAAAGGAGCGAGGAGUGUAAACUAUUGUUGGACCCAGUUGGUUUUUACCUCAACAGCGCCACCUUUCGGCAAAGCGAUUCACCGUUGUAAGUUAAAGCCGCUCUCCCUUUGAAGACACAUCUUUUAUAAUUUUUAUUGGAGAGAACAACUCACAUCUGAUUUCGGCGAAACGAGGCUGCAAGGGGAGGGGAGAGUCAUCUUGAGAAGGAGGCAAAAUACAGAUAA